UUGUGUCAUGGCUCUGGAUUGAAACGCUGGUUGGCAGGCCCUAGCGCAUGCAAGUCGAGCAGAUGAAGCGAGCUUGCUCCUGGAUUCAGCGGCGGACGGGUGAGUAAUGCCUAGGAAUCUGCAUGCUAGUGGGGGAUAACGUCCGGAAACGGGCGCUAAUACCGCAUACGUCCUGAGGGAGAAAGUGGGGGAUCUUCGGACCUCACGCUAUCAGAUGAGCCUAGGUCGGAUUAGCUAGUUGGUGGGGUAAAGGCCUACCAAGGCGACGAUCCGUAACUGGUCUGAGAGGAUGAUCAGUCACACUGGAACUGAGACACGGUCCAGACUCCUACGGGAGGCAGCAGUGGGGAAUAUUGGACAAUGGGCGAAAGCCUGAUCCAGCCAUGCCGCGUGUGUGAAGAAGGUCUUCGGAUUGUAAAGCACUUUAAGUUGGGAGGAAGGGCAGUAAGUUAAUACCUUGCUGUUUUGACGUUACCAACAGAAUAAGCACCGGCUAACUUCGUGCCAGCAGCCGCGGUAAUACGAAGGGUGCAAGCGUUAAUCGGAAUUACUGGGCGUAAAGCGCGCGUAGGUGGUUCAGCAAGUUGGAUGUGAAAUCCCCGGGCUCAACCUGGGAACUGCAUCCAAAACUACUGAGCUAGAGUACGGUAGAGGGUGGUGGAAUUUCCUGUGUAGCGGUGAAAUGCGUAGAUAUAGGAAGGAACACCAGUGGCGAAGGCGACCACCUGGACUGAUACUGACACUGAGUGCGAAGUCUUUUC
Molecule: ribosomal RNA, 761 nt
Filed under: Pseudomonas aeruginosa
Lineage: Bacteria; Pseudomonadati; Pseudomonadota; Gammaproteobacteria; Pseudomonadales; Pseudomonadaceae
Description: bacterial SSU rRNA
Rfam family: Bacterial small subunit ribosomal RNA
Source: RNAcentral